AGAGUUUGAUCAUGGCUCAGGACGAACACUGGCGGCGUGCUUAACACAUGCAAGUCGAACGGAAAGGCCCUUCGGGGUACUCGAGUGGCGAACGGGUGAGUAACACGUGGGUGAUCUGCCCUGCACUUUGGGAUAAGCCUGGGAAACUGGGCCUAAUACCGAAUAUGACCAUGCACUUCCUGGUGUGUGGUGGAAAGCUUUUGCGGUGUGGGAUGGGCCCGCGGCCUAUCAGCUUGUUGGUGGGGUAAUGGCCUACCAAGGCGACGACGGGUAGCCGGCCUGAGAGGGUGACCGGCCACACUGGGACUGAGAUACGGCCCAGACUCCUACGGGAGGCAGCAGUGGGGAAUAUUGCACAAUGGGCGCAAGCCUGAUGCAGCGACGCCGCGUGAGGGAUGACGGCCUUCGGGUUGUAAACCUCUUUCAGCACAGACGAAGCGCAAGUGACGGUAUGUGCAGAAGAAGGACCGGCCAACUACGUGCCAGCAGCCGCGGUAAUACGUAGGGUCCGAGCGUUGUCCGGAAUUACUGGGCGUAAAGAGCUCGUAGGUGGUUUGUCGCGUUGUUCGUGAAAACUCACAGCUUAACUGUGGGCGUGCGGGCGAUACGGGCAGACUUGAGUACUGCAGGGGAGACUGGAAUUCCUGGUGUAGCGGUGGAAUGCGCAGAUAUCAGGAGGAACACCGGUGGCGAAGGCGGGUCUCUGGGCAGUAACUGACGCUGAGGAGCGAAAGCGUGGGGAGCGAACAGGAUUAGAUACCCUGGUAGUCC
Molecule: ribosomal RNA, 771 nt
Filed under: uncultured bacterium
Lineage: Bacteria
Description: bacterial SSU rRNA
Rfam family: Bacterial small subunit ribosomal RNA
Source: RNAcentral